CGUGUAGGCGGUUGGGAUAGUCAGAUGUGAAAGCCUUCUGCUCAACAGAAGAAGUACGUCUGAAACUGCCCAACUUGAGUACGAGAGAGGAAAGUGGAAUUCCCAAUGUAGAGGUGAAAUUCGUAGAUAUUGGGAGGAACACCUGUGGCGAAGGCGACUUUCUGGAUCGAUACUGACGCUGAGACGCGAAAGCGUGGGGAGCAAACAGGAUUAGAUACCCUGGUAGUCC
Molecule: ribosomal RNA, 229 nt
Filed under: uncultured bacterium
Lineage: Bacteria
Description: partial 16S ribosomal RNA
Rfam family: Bacterial small subunit ribosomal RNA
Source: RNAcentral